AGAGUUUGAUCCUGGCUCAGGACGAACGCUGGCGGCGUGCUUAACACAUGCAAGUCGAACGGUGAAGUCCCUUCGGGGGCGGAUCAGUGGCGAACGGGUGAGUAACACGUGGGCAAUCUGCCCCUCACUGUGGGAUAACUCCGGGAAACCGGGGCUAAUACCGCAUAUGAAGCCUGGCGGCAUCGCCGGGUUUGGAAAGUUUUUCGGUGAGGGAUGAGCCCGCGGCCUAUCAGCUUGUUGGUGAGGUAAUGGCUCACCAAGGCGACGACGGGUAGCCGGCCUGAGAGGGCGACCGGCCACACUGGGACUGAGACACGGCCCAGACUCCUACGGGAGGCAGCAGUGGGGAAUAUUGGGCAAUGGGCGAAAGCCUGACCCAGCGACGCCGCGUGCGGGAUGAAGGCCUUCGGGUUGUAAACCGCUUUCAGCAGGGAAGAAG
RNAcentral lists this ribosomal RNA (439 nucleotides) under uncultured bacterium. RNAcentral describes it as "bacterial SSU rRNA". It matches the Rfam family "Bacterial small subunit ribosomal RNA", at positions 8 to 450 of the family's 1533-position model. The record is from RNAcentral.